UGGGGAAUUUUGGACAAUGGGCGAAAGCCUGAUCCAGCAAUGCCGCGUGCAGGAUGAAGGCCUUCGGGUUGUAAACUGCUUUUGUACGGAACGAAAAGGCUCUGGUUAAUACCUGGGGUCCAUGACGGUACCGUAAGAAUAAGCACCGGCUAACUACGUGCCAGCAGCCGCGGUAAUACGUAGGGUGCAAGCGUUAAUCGGAAUUACUGGGCGUAAAGCGUGCGCAGGCGGUUAUGUAAGACAGAGGUGAAAUCCCCGGGCUCAACCUGGGAACUGCCUUUGUGACUGCAUAGCUAGAGUACGGCAGAGGGGGAUGGAAUUCCGCGUGUAGCAGUGAAAUGCGUAGAUAU
This 350-nucleotide ribosomal RNA is filed under the name uncultured bacterium. RNAcentral's name for it is "bacterial SSU rRNA". It matches the Rfam family "Bacterial small subunit ribosomal RNA", at positions 355 to 697 of the family's 1533-position model. The record is from RNAcentral.